UUAUCGUCGGCCUGAAGGCCAGGGGCUGUAUCUGCAGUCGAACGAACUUCCGUUAAUUGAUUAUGACGUGCUUGCACUGAAUGAGAUUUUAACACGAAGUGAGUGGCGGACGGGUGAGUAACACGUGGGUAACCUGCCCAGAAGCAGGGGAUAACACCUGGAAACAGAUGCUAAUACCGUAUAACAGAGAAAACCGCCUGGUUUUCUUUUAAAAGAUGGCUCUGCUAUCACUUCUGGAUGGACCCGCGGCGCAUUAGCUGGUUGGUGAGGUAACGGCUCACCAAGGCGAUGAUGCGUAGCCGACCUGAGAGGGUAAUCGGCCACAUUGGGACUGAGACACGGCCCAGACUCCUACGGGAGGCAGCAGUAGGGAAUCUUCCACAAUGGACGCAAGUCUGAUGGAGCAACGCCGCGUGAGUGAAGAAGGGUUUCGGCUCGUAAAGCUCUGUUGUUAAAGAAGAACGUGGGUGAGAGUAACUGUUCACCCAGUGACGGUAUUUAACCAGAAAGCCACGGCUAACUACGUGCCAGCAGCCGCGGUAAUACGUAGGUGGCAAGCGUUAUCCGGAUUUAUUGGGCGUAAAGCGAGCGCAGGCGGUCUUUUAAGUCUAAUGUGAAAGCCUUCGGCUCAACCGAAGAAGUGCAUUGGAAACUGGGAGACUUGAGUGCAGAAGAGGACAGUGGAACUCCAUGUGUAGCGGUGAAAUGCGUAGAUAUAUGGAAGAACACCAGUGGCGAAGGCGGCUGUCUGGUCUGUAACUGACGCUGAGGCUCGAAAGCAUGGGUAGCGAACAGGAUUAGAUACCCUGGGUAGUCCAUGCCGUAAACGAUGAUUACUAAGUGUUGGAGGGUUUCCCGCCCCUUUCAGUGCUGC
This 874-nucleotide ribosomal RNA is filed under the name Pediococcus acidilactici. Its description in RNAcentral is "bacterial SSU rRNA". It matches the Rfam family "Bacterial small subunit ribosomal RNA", at positions 14 to 849 of the family's 1533-position model. Lineage: Bacteria; Bacillati; Bacillota; Bacilli; Lactobacillales; Lactobacillaceae. The record is from RNAcentral.